This 2357-nucleotide ribosomal RNA is filed under the name Dulichia sp. AI-2007-1. Its description in RNAcentral is "small subunit ribosomal RNA". It matches the Rfam family "Eukaryotic small subunit ribosomal RNA". The record is from RNAcentral. Lineage: Eukaryota; Metazoa; Arthropoda; Malacostraca; Amphipoda; Podoceridae.
UCUGGUUGAUCCUGCCAGUAGUCAUAUGCUUGUCUCAAAGAUUAAGCCAUGCAUGUCUAAGUCCAAGCUGUGUUUACACGGCGAGACCGCGGACGGCUCAUUAAAACAGUCGUGGUCCACAUGGGCCAGUCCUUGCUUACUUGGAUAACUGUGGUAAUUCCAGAGCUAAUACAUGCAACAAUGCUCCGAUGAAGGGCCGAGUUCGGUGCUUGUCACUGUUCGCGUGUUCCCUACUGACGGGUGCUUUUAUUAGACCAAGCUACCGAGGGUCUUGGCUUCGGGCGUGAAGCGUGCGUUCGCGUGCGUGUCCGUUGCCAUCAAAGACUUUGCUCACAGUGUGGUGACUCUGGAUAACCAUCAUGACAAGCGCACGUAUCCUCUCGAGGGACGGCGCUGCCACUUUCGAGUGUCUGACCUAUCAGCUGUCAAUCGCUCGUUACACGCGACCGAUGGCUUUGACGGGUAACGGGGAAUCAGGGUUCGAUUCCGGAGAGGCAGCCUGAGAGACGGCUACCACGUCCAAGGACGGCAGCAGGCACGCAAAUUACCCAAUCCCAGCUCCUGGGGGAGGUAGUGACGAAAUCUAACGAUGCGGGCGCCCUACAUGGGCCCCGCAAUCGGAAUGAGCACUUUCUAAACAACCUGUUGAGAACCUACUGAAGGGCAAGUCUGGUGCCAGCAGCCGCGGUAAUUCCAGCUUCAGUAGCAUCUAUUAAAGUUGCUGCGGUUAAAAGGCUCGCAGUUGAAUUUCAGUGCCGGGUGUCGAUUGGUGGACGUUGGAGAGCGAGAUCAAAGGUCGUAGUGUCGGCGGCGUCCGCGUCGUCGCGCUUCGGUCUCUCGCACCCUCCCGUCCGUAACAAGCCUUCGUACCCGAGUACACAGUGGCGAGCUUAUGGGUGCGCGCGUGUUUUCGUUGCGCUCCGGCGUAUGCGUUGACUCCCGCACUUGGUUCGCCGGUGUCACCCUGAGUAAAUCAGAGUGCUCAAAGCAGUCGUGAGGGGCGCCUCGUGCGUCCCGUGAAAAGUCUUGACGGAUCGUCUUGAUUUUGCAUGGCAUGUUGGAAGAUGAUGUCGAGCGCUGGCCAGGAGCAAUCACUUGGUGGUGACGGCCAGCCUCGACGUAAUGAUUAAAAGGGCUUGUCGAGGGCAUUGGUAUUGCGGAGCGAGAGGUGAAAUUCUAUGACCUUCGCAAGACCUCCCGAAGCGAAAGCGUCUGCCAAGGAUGUUUUCAUUAAUCAUGAACGAAAGUUAGAGGAUCGAAGGCGAUCAGAUACCGCCCUAGUUCUAACCCUAAACGAUGCCAACCAUCAAUCCGCCUGAGCUCUCUCUUGUCGGGCUCGGCGGGCAGCUACUCACUCACGGGAAACCAGAGUCUCUGGGUUCCGGGGGGAGUCUGGUUGCAAAGCUGAAACUUAAAGGAAUUGACGGAAAGGCACCACCAGGCGUGGAGCCUGCGGCUUAAUUUGACUCAACACGGGCCAUCUCACCAGGCCAGCACUCUAGCAUGAUUGACAGAUUGAGAGCUCUUUCUCGAUUCAGUGGAUGGUGGUGCAUGGCCGUUCUUAGUUGGUGGAGUGAUCUGUCUGGUUAAUUCCGAUAACGAACGAGACUCUCCCCUGCUAACUAGUCGGUUGGAUCUUGAACUGUGAGUGGUACUAAGCCCCGAUGGUGUCGCCUUGCUCGUUCCUCUCCUGUCGCGCGUUGUUCGGUUCUGUGUGGGCGUGUGUGUGCGGUGUGCUUUCGGGUAUGUCGUUGCGCGCCGUCUCGCAGUCUCUCGGGCUUCACGUUGGCGUUGAGUGCGCGUGUUUGGUUGUAUGCCUCGGGUAGCACGCUCCUAGUCCGCCGUCUUUACAAAUUCUUCUUAGAGGGAUCCACGGCUCUGAAGCCGUCAGAGACUGAGAGCAAUAACAGGUCUGUGAUGCCCUUAGAUGCUCUGGGCCGCACGCGCGCUACAAUGCUGGGCACAGCAGGUGUCUUUCCUACUCCGAGAGGAGUGGGUAACCCUCUGAAAGCCCGUUUUGCUUUGUUGGCCCGUCUCGCUGUAGUUGACGUAGGUCUCUGCAUAUGCGAUCGGGCCUAGCGUGCUUGGGCCUGGGGCUUGCAAUUUUUCCCCACAAACGAGGAAUGCCUAGUAGCGGUGGGUCACUGAGCCCACCGUGACUCAGUCCCUGCCCUUUGUACACACCGCCCGUCGCUACUACCGAUUGGGUGUUCCAGUGAGAGCCUUGGACAGGCGGCCGUUGCCUUCCUUUCGAGGAAAGCAUGCGGCUCGACUGAAAGAGGUCCGAACUGGUGCACUUAGAGGAAGUAAAAGUCGUAACAAGGUUUCCGUAGGUGAACCUGCGGAAGGAUCAUUAA